UACGUAGGGUGCAAGCGUUGUCCGGAAUUAUUGGGCGUAAAGAGCUCGUAGGCGGUUUGUUGCGUCGGCUGUGAAAUCCCGAGGCUCAACCUCGGGUCUGCAGUCGAUACGAGCAAACUAGAGUGUUGCAGGGGAGACUGGAAUUCCUGGUGUAGCGGUGAAAUGCGCAGAUAUCAGGAGGGAACACCGGUGGCGAAGGCGGGU
This 204-nucleotide ribosomal RNA is filed under the name uncultured bacterium. RNAcentral's name for it is "partial 16S ribosomal RNA". It matches the Rfam family "Bacterial small subunit ribosomal RNA", at positions 524 to 726 of the family's 1533-position model. The record is from RNAcentral.